AGCGAUCUGGAAUGUAAAACCAAGUAUAACAAAGGGGCUACUAGGGAUGACUAGGCAAUGGAUCGGAAUGAGGUCUAAUCCAAACUGUCGAAUCCGAUCAAGGGUAUGUUAAUCAACCCGGUCUCGACGAUCAAGGCCAAAAGGUGCCUCACUUACCUUGGGAACUGAAACAUCUUAUGUACCAAGAGGAAAGGAAAUCAACCGAGACUCUACAAGUAGUGGCGAGCGAACGUAGACAAGCUAUCUCUAUCAACUUAGACAACCUCUGUUUACGUUUAUGCGUAGCAGCAGGAAAAUGGUAGCCUUCGGACAAAGACAUAAACAAUAGCUUGGAAUAGCUAGCCACAGAUGGUGAUAGCCCAGUGAUGAUAUGACUUUGCUCCCUUUUGGCAGUGAAUUUAAUUCCUUAGAGAGAAUUGGCGGCUUGUCAAGCUGCUUUUAUAAUACCCUGUCUAUUAAGGCAGGAAAGGUGUACCAUCAUCAAAGCUAAGUAUGUUCCAUUGACCGAUAGUGCAGAGUACCGUGAGGGAAUGUUGAAAAAGCAGGUAGUAAACUGGUGAAAAGCCUGAACUAGUGGCUCCAUAAGCAGCUGGAAUCACAACAGCCAUUGACUCCAACUCAAUGUGUGAUGACAGCGUACCUUUUGUAUAAUGGGUGUACCAACCAUCAGACCCGAACCCAGGUGAUCUUGCCAUGGCCAAGUGCUAUUUAAUAAGACUGAACGGGUGUCCGUUGCAAGGGACUCCGAAGAGCUGUGGCAAGGGGUGAAAAGCCAAUCUAACCUGGAGAUAGCUGGUCUUCUGCGAAACCCGUUUUAGCGGGUCGCCCAUUUAUUGAAAUUAAAUUCGUUACUAGACGGUACGGCACUGGAAGCCACGCAGCUUUUGCUGCAUAAUCGGGGGGCUGUCAUGGCUCUAUCGAUGGCUUCUAACCCCGGAAAUGUAUAGUAUACAAUGAUGGGCAAUCAGACGUAUCGUGAUAAGGCGAUUCGUCAAAAGGGCAACAGCCCAGAACAGGUGUGAAGGUCCCUAACAAGCUACUGAGUGAACACAAGGCAGUCCUCUCCAGUGUCUCUCCACAAAGUGGGCUUGGAAGCAGCCACCUUUUAGCGAUAGCGUAACAGCUCAGUGGUCUGAGCCUCCCUGUAAAAAGGGAAUAUUGCCUGGUGAGGGCGCCAAAAAUGUAACGGGUCUAUAGUAGUUGUCUCUCUGUUCCAGCUUUGGAUAUGGAGGGAGUGGCAGUUUCUUCACUGUCUCACCGAAACCCUGUCCUAGAUGUAAAAUUCUAGGGGUAGCAGAAUACCCAGCAAAUGGAAUGAAGCUUGCUCAUUGAGCCGGUGGACAUAGCUGGGCUAAGAAUGCUGACAUGAGUAGCCUAAAAGGAGGGUAAUUCCCUCUUCGCCGAAAGCAGAAGGGUUUCAUUUGUAAGGUCUAUACCUAGAUGAUUAAAGCAGCGGCCUCUAAGGUUCAGAGUAACAAAUUAGUUCCGAUGAGUAACUCUUCUAUAGGGCAGUAACCUUCCUUAUAAGUUUACCUUCAAGUAAUUAGAGGUAUACUUCAAAGAGUAAGGUUCGGGAAAGAGCCCUACAGAAUAAAUCUUAAAACCGUACCCUAAACCGACACAGGUCUGCAAGUAGAGCAUACUAAGGCGUAGAGAUAAUCGUCUUGAAGGAACUCGGCAAAAUGACCCCGUAACUUCGGGAGAAGGGGUGCCACUAAUAAGUGGCGGCACUAAACAGGGGGGCGCGACUGUUUACUUAAAACACCGGACUCUGCUAACACUAGCGUGGAUGUAUAGAGUCUGAUACCUGCCCGAUGCUAGAUGAUCAACUAAGCCGUUUUAGGAUGGCAAAGGAAGCUCUAGUCAAUGGCGGCUGUAACCUUGACGGUCCUAAGGUAGCGAAAUUCCUUGGCAUUUAAAUGAUGUCCCGCAUGAAAGGUUUAACGAAGCUCCCACUGUCUCCAAGACGAGCUCGGCGAAAUUGAAUUAUCCGUGAAGAUGCGGAUUACCUCCAGCUAGACGAGAAGACCCUUUGAAGCUUGACUGCAACUAGUUAGUGUGUAACCGCUACUAAGGUACAAAGGGAGUCGACUAGACGAGAUACCUUGAUCUUUGUAGUAGGUUUCACUAUAAAUGCUGGCUAGUGGGCAGUUUGUCUGGGGCGGCAAUCCUCACCUAAAGUAACUGAGGAGUCCGAAGGUGUGCUUUGCUAGGUUGGAAACCUCUCUAUGGCUAUGGUGAGCCUAAAUAAGCGCAAUGGUAUAAGCAUGCUUGACUGUGAGACCUACAAGUCUAUCAGGUAAAACCCUUUCUAUUUACCCCUUCAUAUAUCAGGUCUCUCACGGCUAAAGUUAACCUUACCUUCUUUCUUAUUUCAUCACUUGUUAGCCUUGGUUCACAGUGCAGCGCACUUGUGGAACAAGUUUGUUUUGUUUAAAGUAGUAAAGGAAUGGAAGAAGGGGUAAUUAGGUAUAAAGGGUAUAGGUAACUAGGGCAUAGUGACCCGGUGAUACAUCAUGGAAUGUUCAUCGAUCAACGGAUAAAAGCUACUCAAGGGAUAACAGGCUGAUCCUCCACGAGAGUCCAUAUUGACUGGGGGGGUUGGCACCUCGAUGUCGGCUCAUCCUAUCCUAGAGCAGUAUAAGGUUCUAAGGGUUCGGCUGUUCGCCGAGUAAAAGGGUACGUGAGCUGGGUUAAGUACGACGCGAGUCAGUACGGCUUCUAUCUACUGGAGGGAGUUGGAAGUAAGGAGGAAGCUAUUUUUAGUACGCGAGGACUUAAAUGGAGUGACCUCUGGUUUACCAGUUAUCAACAGCUAAUAAAGCUAUGGUAUGGCUGGAAAGCUACGUCACGAAUAGAUAACUGCUGAAACCAUAUCAAGCAGGAAACUACUCCUCUAUACUUCCUUUGAAACUUAGGGUAGACCACCCUAUUGAUAGGGCCUGGGUGUAAUAGCAGUAAUGCUUUUAGCCUCGGGUUACUAAUUGUUAAGCAACUUGGUUUUACCAGAUCGUU
Molecule: ribosomal RNA, 3015 nt
Filed under: Rhizophagus fasciculatus
Lineage: Eukaryota; Fungi; Glomeromycota; Glomeromycetes; Glomerales; Glomeraceae
Description: large subunit ribosomal RNA
Rfam family: Bacterial large subunit ribosomal RNA
Source: RNAcentral